AACGAACGCUGGCGGUAUGCCUAAUACAUGCAAGUCGUACGAGAAAGCUCUUUCGGGAGUGAUUAAAGUGGCGCACGGGUGAGUAACGCGUAGGUGACCUACCUCGAAGUGUGGGAUAACAGGGAGAAGUUCCUGCUAAUACCGCAUAAGCUGAACAACUUUGGAAGGAGUUCAGGAAAGAUAGCCUCUAUACUAUGCUAUCACUUUGAGAAGGGCCUGCGAGUCAUUAGCUUGAUGGUGAGGUAACGGCUCACCAUGGCGAUGAUGGCUAGCCGGUCUGAGAGGAUGAUCGGCCACACUGGAACUGAGACACGGUCCAG
Molecule: ribosomal RNA, 320 nt
Filed under: uncultured bacterium
Lineage: Bacteria
Description: bacterial SSU rRNA
Rfam family: Bacterial small subunit ribosomal RNA
Source: RNAcentral